This 440-nucleotide ribosomal RNA is filed under the name uncultured bacterium. RNAcentral's name for it is "bacterial SSU rRNA". It matches the Rfam family "Bacterial small subunit ribosomal RNA", at positions 338 to 795 of the family's 1533-position model. The record is from RNAcentral.
CCUACGGGAGGCACCAGUGGGGAAUAUUGGACAAUGGGCGAAAGCCUGAUCCAGCAAUGCCGCGUGUGUGAAGAAGGUCUUCGGAUUGUAAAGCACUUUCGACGGGGACGAUGAUGACGGUACCCGUAGAAGAAGCCCCGGCUAACUUCGUGCCAGCAGCCGCGGUAAUACGAAGGGGGCUAGCGUUGCUCGGAAUGACUGGGCGUAAAGGGCGCGUAGGCGGUUUAUGCAGUCAGAUGUGAAAUCCCCGGGCCUAACCUGGGAACUGCAUUUGAGACGCAUAGAGUAGAGGUAGAGAGAGGGUUGUGGAAUUCCCAGUGUAGAGGUGCAAUUCGUAGAUAUUGGGAAGAACACCGGUGGCGAAGGCGGCAACCUGGCUCGAUACUGACCCUGAGGCGCGAAAGCGUGGGGAGCAAACAGGAUUAGAUACCCGUGUAGUC